RNAcentral lists this ribosomal RNA (630 nucleotides) under Triticum aestivum (bread wheat). RNAcentral describes it as "partial small subunit ribosomal RNA". The record is from RNAcentral. Lineage: Eukaryota; Viridiplantae; Streptophyta; Magnoliopsida; Poales; Poaceae.
AUGCUGGAUCAGUCCGGCCACAAGAACAGUGUCUCUUUAACAAAAAUGACUGUUAAAAGUGGAUGUAUGCCUGGCAGAAUGAUCAAAGAACAUCUCAUUUCUUUCAUGAGGGCGACCGGACAUAUACCUGGGAGGAUCAUAUUUUACAGGGAUGUUGUAAGCAAAGAAAAGCUCAAUCAGGUUCUUGAGCAUGAACUUUCUGCCAUUAAAAAGGCAUGUGCUUCGGUCGAUCCAAUUUACAAUCCACAAGUUACCAUUAUUAUGGUUCAGAGACGUCAUCACACACGUUUGUUUUCUGGUAACUAUGGCACUGGGAGCACAGUUUUCCGAAGUGGAAAUGUAUUGCCUGGUACUGUGGUUGAUAACGAAAUAUGCCAUCCCACCGACUUUGAUUUUUACCUGUGUAGCCAUGCUGGCACUAAGGGAGUUAGCCGGCCUGUACGUUAUCAUGUUCUGUGGGACGAGAAUAGCUUUACGGCUAAUGCUAUCCAAUCUCUCACAAACCAUCUAUGCUACACGUACGCGAGGUGCACCUCCUCUGUUUCUGUAGUGCCUCCGGUCUACUACGCCCAUCUUUUGGCAUCCCGCGCUUGGCUUUAUAUCAAACCAGGGGAUACGGGUGAGCUGUAA